GAUCCUGGCUCAGGACGAACGCUGGCGGCGUGCUUAACACCAUGCAAGUCGAACGAAGCUUGAUUACGGAUUCUUCGGAUGAAGUAUGAUAUGACUGAGUGGCGGACGGGUGAGUAACGCGUGAGUAACCUGCCCUUCAGAGGGGGAUAGCGUUUGGAAACGAACGGUAAUACCGCAUAAUGUAUUUUGACCGCAUGAUCGAAAUACCAAAGAUUUAUCGCUGAAGGAUGGACUCGCGU
RNAcentral lists this ribosomal RNA (239 nucleotides) under uncultured bacterium. RNAcentral describes it as "partial 16S ribosomal RNA". It matches the Rfam family "Bacterial small subunit ribosomal RNA", at positions 15 to 236 of the family's 1533-position model. The record is from RNAcentral.